RNAcentral lists this ribosomal RNA (254 nucleotides) under uncultured bacterium. RNAcentral describes it as "partial 16S ribosomal RNA". It matches the Rfam family "Bacterial small subunit ribosomal RNA", at positions 524 to 776 of the family's 1533-position model. The record is from RNAcentral.
UACAGAGGUCCCGAGCGUUGUUCGGAUUCACUGGGCGUAAAGGGUGCGUAGGUGGUUAGGUAAGUCCGAUGUGAAAUCUCCAGGCUCAACCUGGAAAUGGCAUUGGAUACUAUUUAGCUUGAGGAGUGGAGGGGGGACUGGAAUUCUCGGUGUAGCAGUGAAAUGCGUAGAUAUCGAGAGGAACACCAGUGGCGAAGGCGAGUCCCUGGACACUUCCUGACACUGAGGCACGAAAGCUAGGGGAGCAAAACAGG